CCGUUCCUCUGUUCCUGUCUGAGAUCGCGCCGACGAGGAUCCGCGGCGGGCUCAACAUCCUGUUCCAGCUCAACGUCACUAUCGGCAUCCUCUUCGCCAACCUCGUCAACUACGGCACCUCCAAGUAAGUCCCAGCUUAACCAUGAUCGGCCUGUGCGUGCGCUAUACCGGCAGUAAUCGAUGGAACUGAUGAGCCUCGUGCGUCUAUGCUAUGCAGGAUCCACCCGUGGGGAUGGAGGCUUUCGCUGUCGCUCGCCGGCAUCCCGGCCGUGCUGCUCACCCUUGGCGCGCUCUUCGUAACGGACACGCCCAACAGCCUCAUCGAGCGCGGCCGCCUGGACGAGGGCAAGGCCGUGCUCAAGAAGAUCCGCGGCACCGACAACGUGGAGCCGGAGUUCAACGAGAUCGUGGAGGCCAGCCGCAUCGCCCAGGAGGUCAAGCACCCCUUCCGCAACCUCCUCCAGCGCCGCAACCGCCCGCAGCUCGUCAUCGCCGUCCUCCUCCAGAUCUUCCAGCAGUUCACGG
Molecule: long non-coding RNA, 525 nt
Filed under: Setaria italica (foxtail millet)
Lineage: Eukaryota; Viridiplantae; Streptophyta; Magnoliopsida; Poales; Poaceae
Description: long non-coding RNA (SITA_LNC007321)
Source: RNAcentral